GUUUUCCCUUAAACAACCCACAGAGGCCACCAAAGAAGUGCUCACCCCUCUCUGCCCUUACAGGUGAGCCCCUGGAUGAGGACUGGGGUCUUACACACCAGCUACUCAAGCAACUGAAGUGGAGAGAACAAAACAGCACAGCACAGCUCCUAAAAGGAGGGAAAAAAACAGAAGGAAAGAUGGAUAUGUUCAUAUCAUCCUUAAAAUAGGUAGCUUGUCCCUGGCACCUGCUGCUGACCAGCAGAUGUUUCCUGUGCCUCAGGGGUGGACCCGUACAGUCGAAGAUGACUGAAGGCUGAUCUGCAAAGUUCCUGUCUCAGGCGCUGAGUUUAUAAUUAAUAAUCACUCCUGUGUACCCAGCCCCACUGAACUCAGCUAGAGACCUCUCUGUUUGGAUGAUUCGAUCUAGGGAGCUACGGAUGAAGAGUCCCUUCCUUUCUGCAGCAUGGCAGCCUAUGCAAAGGGCUUUGGAAUAAAGAAAGUAUCAGUGCUUACUGACACCAGCUUGGAGUCUCAAGCCUGGUUAGUGGCGAGUACCAUAAUCUCACCUCAAAGAAAGACCAGCAUGCUGAAGGGAGCCAAGUGUAAUCACCACCAGAGGAAAUGAGACAAUUUGGCAGCAGCGUCAGCAGGGGAGCCAACUGGGAUGUGUGUAAAGUGUAAGAAUAUCUGUGCUCACUAUGUAUGCACAAAGGUUUUGAUUUGCAUAAAAACGGUGCCGAACUGGAGCGAAAACAAAGAAAGAGUGUAUAGGUAGUCACCUACCCCAGCACCCUGUGUCUGGCUGCUGAAAAGGUUUUGGUUUCACGGCAGAAGCACAAAUAAAGCAUGAAGCUAAAUAAUUAAAGCCUGGCA
RNAcentral lists this long non-coding RNA (855 nucleotides) under Apteryx rowi (Okarito brown kiwi). RNAcentral describes it as "lncRNA (ENSARWG00000004224.1)". The record is from RNAcentral. Lineage: Eukaryota; Metazoa; Chordata; Aves; Apterygiformes; Apterygidae.